This 468-nucleotide ribosomal RNA is filed under the name uncultured bacterium. RNAcentral describes it as "partial 16S ribosomal RNA". It matches the Rfam family "Bacterial small subunit ribosomal RNA", at positions 28 to 507 of the family's 1533-position model. The record is from RNAcentral.
GACGAACGCUGGCGGCGUGCUUAACACAUGCAAGUCGAACGGAAAGGCCCUGCUUUUGUGGGGUGCUCGAGUGGCGAACGGGUGAGUAACACGUGAGUAACCUGCCCUUGACUUUGGGAUAACUUCAGGAAACUGGGGCUAAUACCGGAUAGGAGCUCCUGCUGCAUGGUGGGGGUUGGAAAGUUUCGGCGGUUGGGGAUGGACUCGCGGCUUAUCAGCUUGUUGGUGGGGUAGUGGCUUACCAAGGCUUUGACGGGUAGCCGGCCUGAGAGGGUGACCGGCCACAUUGGGACUGAGAGACGGCCCAGACUCCUACGGGAGGCAGCAGGGGGGAAUAUUGCACAAUGGGCGGAAGCCUGAUGCAGCAACUCCGCGUUCGGGAUGACGGCCUUCUGGUUGUAAACCGCUUUCGCCUGUGACGAAGCGUGAGUGACGGUAAUGGGUAAAGAAGCACCGGCUAACUACGUG